AUUGAACGCUGGCGGCAUGCCUUACACAUGCAAGUCGAACGGCAGCACGGGAGCAAUCCUGGUGGCGAGUGGCGAACGGGUGAGUAAUGUAUCGGAACGUACCUUUCAGUGGGGGAGUAACGUAGCGAAAGUUACGCUAAUACCGCAUAUUCUGUGAGCAGGAAAGCAGGGGAGUCGCAAGACCUUGCGCUGAUUGAGCGGCCGAUAUCAGAUUAGCUAGUUGGUGAGGUAAAGGCUCACCAAGGCGACGAUCUGUAGCGGGUCUGAGAGGAUGGCCAGCCACACUGGAACUGAGACACGGUCCAGACUCCUACGGGAGGCAGCAGUGGGGAAUUUUGGACAAUGGGCGCAAGCCUGAUCCAGCCAUGCCGCGUGAGUGAAGAAGGCC
This 388-nucleotide ribosomal RNA is filed under the name uncultured bacterium. RNAcentral's name for it is "bacterial SSU rRNA". It matches the Rfam family "Bacterial small subunit ribosomal RNA", at positions 30 to 416 of the family's 1533-position model. The record is from RNAcentral.